Molecule: ribosomal RNA, 183 nt
Filed under: Escherichia coli
Lineage: Bacteria; Pseudomonadati; Pseudomonadota; Gammaproteobacteria; Enterobacterales; Enterobacteriaceae
Description: partial 23S ribosomal RNA
Rfam family: Bacterial large subunit ribosomal RNA
Source: RNAcentral
UGAGAUAAGUGCUGAAAGCAUCUAAGCACGAAACUUGCCCCGAGAUGAGUUCUCCCUGACUCCUUGAGAGUCCUGAAGGAACGUUGAAGACGACGACGUUGAUAGGCCGGGUGUGUAAGCGCAGCGAUGCGUUGAGCUAACCGGUACUAAUGAACCGUGAGGCUUAACCUUACAACGCCGAAG